Molecule: non-coding RNA, 1034 nt
Organism: Pimephales promelas (fathead minnow)
Lineage: Eukaryota; Metazoa; Chordata; Actinopteri; Cypriniformes; Leuciscidae
Source: RefSeq, a predicted model, not a curated record
AACUGUAACGUUAUUCAGCUAAAGGCUUCUAACUCAAAUCCGUCUACGAAGCAAUCAUGUCUGAUAAACCAAACCUGGAAGAGGUCACCAGCUUUGACAAAACCAAGCUGAAGAAGACUGAAACGCAGGAGAAAAACCCACUGCCAUCUAAAGAAACCAUUGAACAGGAGAAGCAGGCUGCCUCAUGAAGACACAAGCUGCCAUCAUGCACUGUGCACACUCCCUUCCCUGCAUUGCCUUCGUUUCAUUCACUUCUUUUAGCAGCAUAAUUUUUUAACCAAAAUGUAAAAAAAAAAAAAAAAAAAAAUUCUAAAGCUGCAUCACUGUCGGAUGGGAUGAGCCGACCCUCUAGCAACACCUAGAUGCGUCUGGACCACAACCCUUGUCCAUUCCAGCAUUGGGAAGAAAAGAGAAAGCUUCUACUUCCAGGAGCAUGUGGAAUGGAUUCAUCUGGUGCCCAUGGUGGGCUAUUUUGCAUUGGUUUCAACUAUGCCAUUGGACAAGGGGGCGUGGCCUAGUGGAUAUCCCCAAAUAUUCAUCAUCCGAUUGAGGCGUGGCUUUUUGUUGACAAGUGACCAGCUCACAAAGUUAUGGCAUUGUAUUUUUUAUUUCAAAUUAUAGGAUAAACUGCACAAUCUUGGAUUUUUAUGUUGGUAAUGAUUAACACCUUCUUGUUAGUGCUGCUUCAGUAAAAUGCUUUUUUAUUGCUAAGAAAGGAGGAGGAAAAAAAGAAAAAUCAGUCUAGAUGUGAAAACACUUCUAAGGCCCGGGUGUUGAUUUUGAAUUGAUUGUGCCCUUUUUAUCGAUGUGGUUUUGGGGUUGCUUUAUGUUGCACCCUGUCUUGGUUGUCUUAUGGCGGUUAUCAUUGUUCAAAAUGUAAAUUCAAUGUGAACGCUUUCAGCUGUAGAUCAAAUUUCUUUCUUGGAUUAUGUAAAAAUUAAAAAGAAACUCAGCAACCAUGUUAUAUUGCCACAAACCAUUUAUCGAUAAUGGAACAUUGAAACUGUUGUAAUAAAAAACAGGAUUUAUCAGUA